AUUGAACGCUGGCGGCACGCUUUACACAUGCAAGUCGAACGGUAACAGGCCGCAAGGUGCUGACGAGUGGCGAACGGGUGAGUAAUGCAUCGGAACGUGCCCAGUCGUGGGGUAUAACUACUCGAAAGAGUAGCUAAUACCGCAUACGAUCUAUGGAUGAAAUCGGGGGACCGUAAGGCCUCGCGCGAUUGGAGCGGCCGAUGUCAGAUUAGUUAGAUGGUGGGGUAAAGGGUCACCAAGCCAACGAUCUGUAGCUGGUCUGAGAGGACGACCAGCCACACUGGGACUGAGACACGGCCCAGACUCCUACGGGAGGCAGCAGUGGGGAAUUUUGGACAAUGGGCGCAAGCCUGAUCCAGCAAUGCCGCGUGCAGGAAGAAGGCCUUCGGGUUGUAAACUGCUUUUGUACGGAACGAAACGGCUCUGGUUAAUACCCGGGGCUAAUGACGGUACCGUAAGAAUAAGCACCGGCUAACUACGUG
Molecule: ribosomal RNA, 482 nt
Filed under: uncultured bacterium
Lineage: Bacteria
Description: partial 16S ribosomal RNA
Rfam family: Bacterial small subunit ribosomal RNA
Source: RNAcentral